This 446-nucleotide ribosomal RNA is filed under the name Streptococcus anginosus. RNAcentral's name for it is "bacterial SSU rRNA". It matches the Rfam family "Bacterial small subunit ribosomal RNA", at positions 28 to 456 of the family's 1533-position model. Lineage: Bacteria; Bacillati; Bacillota; Bacilli; Lactobacillales; Streptococcaceae. The record is from RNAcentral.
GACGAACGCUGGCGGCGUGCCUAAUACAUGCAAGUAGGACGCACAGUUUAUACCGUAGCUUGCUACACCAUAGACUGUGAGUUGCGAACGGGUGAGUAACGCGUAGGUAACCUGCCUAUUAGAGGGGGAUAACUAUUGGAAACGAUAGCUAAUACCGCAUAACAGUAUGUAACACAUGUUAGAUGCUUGAAAGAUGCAAUUGCAUCGCUAGUAGAUGGACCUGCGUUGUAUUAGCUAGUAGGUAGGGUAAUGGCCUACCUAGGCGACGAUACAUAGCCGACCUGAGAGGGUGAUCGGCCACACUGGGACUGAGACACGGCCCAGACUCCUACGGGAGGCAGCAGUAGGGAAUCUUCGGCAAUGGGGGGAACCCUGACCGAGCAACGCCGCGUGAGUGAAGAAGGUUUUCGGAUCGUAAAGCUCUGUUGUUAAGGAAGAACGAGUGU